GCUCAGAGUAUAAGCCAAUGGAGCUUGGAAGGCUUCCGCAGAUGGUGUCCAUCAUACGUGGUGUUCUUAAGACCUUGAGUGUGGCUCGUCAGGCGAAGCAUUGAGUUUGCCGGGUAGCUGUCGUGCGGGGGUUCGGCUUGGAGGUCUUAGGCUUCGGCCGAAGGGCUUCCGGCUGUCCCCUUUUGAAUGGACGUUCAGAGCUCUUGUGUCUAAUGCGGUUAUGCCCACCACAGCACGUUGUGAGGUCACCCACAGGCUCAAACUGCCGAUCGCGCAUCCAGGACGAUGGCAACGAUGCGUUGUUGAUGAUGGCUCGAGACCGAGACUUCACUCACACGCGUGUCUAGUCCUGGGUCGGGCGGCGACCGAGAUAAACCUGGUAUGAUCCUCUUGCGACGAGCUGCUUUCUGGCCAGACCGACGUCCAGGCGCUUCCACUGUGCCGGAAGCGUCUAUCCCAGGCGGUGUGAACCCAGCUGCAUUAUGCAAGGUCUCUCAGCCGGGCGUUGGUCUGAGUGGUGUUAAGUCCAGCACCAUCGGUCACGUCUCGAAACACGGGCCAAGGAGUAUAGCAUGUGUGCAAGUCUAAGGGUCUCACAAAACCCGAAGGCGAAGUGAAAGCAAGACUGUGGCGGGGGAGCUACGGCAAACCCGCCGGCCUAGUGGCGCGUGCGUCGCCUGGCUUUUAGCAGAGCUGAUCCUGUUUAUCGGUUGAUUCUUGGUGCAGGCGCAAGCUCCGGGCUCACGUACAACACUGUCACGCCUCGUG
Molecule: ribosomal RNA, 768 nt
Filed under: Niphargus rhenorhodanensis
Lineage: Eukaryota; Metazoa; Arthropoda; Malacostraca; Amphipoda; Niphargidae
Description: partial 28S ribosomal RNA
Source: RNAcentral